CCGUGCCUCGAUGAUCGGGACAACCCGGGGAAACCCGGGCUAAUACCGAAUGUGCUGUCCUCACAUCAGUGAGGGCUGGAAAGGAAGCUUCGGCCUCCGCAUCGAGAUGGGCCCGCGGCCCAUUAGCUUGUUGGUGAGGUAACGGCUCACCAAGGCUGCGAUGGGUAGCUGGUCUGAGAGGACGAUCAGCCACACUGGGACUGAGACACGGCCCAG
This 216-nucleotide ribosomal RNA is filed under the name uncultured bacterium. RNAcentral's name for it is "partial 16S ribosomal RNA". It matches the Rfam family "Bacterial small subunit ribosomal RNA", at positions 125 to 334 of the family's 1533-position model. The record is from RNAcentral.